RNAcentral lists this ribosomal RNA (662 nucleotides) under uncultured organism. RNAcentral describes it as "bacterial SSU rRNA". It matches the Rfam family "Bacterial small subunit ribosomal RNA", at positions 1 to 663 of the family's 1533-position model. The record is from RNAcentral.
GGCUUAGAGUUUGAUCAUGGCUCAGGAUGAACGCUGGCGGCGUGCCUAACACAUGCAAGUCGAGCGAAGCACUUUACUUAGAAUCUUUCGGGAGGAAGAGUUUUGUGACUGAGCGGCGGACGGGUGAGUAACGCGUGGGUAACCUGCCUCACACAGGGGGAUAACAGUUAGAAAUGACUGCUAAUACCGCAUAAGACCACAGCACCGCAUGGUGCAGGGGUAAAAACUCCGGUGGUGUGAGAUGGACCCGCGUCUGAUUAGCUAGUUGGUGAGGUAACGGCUCACCAGGGCGACGAUCAGUAGCCGGCCUGAGAGGGUGGACGGCCACAUUGGGACUGAGACACGGCCCAAACUCCUACGGGAGGCAGCAGUGGGGAAUAUUGCACAAUGGGGGAAACCCUGAUGCAGCGACGCCGCGUGAGUGAAGAAGUAUUUCGGUAUGUAAAGCUCUAUCAGCAGGGAAGAAACUGACGGUACCUGACUAAGAAGCACCGGCUAAAUACGUGCCAGCAGCCGCGGUAAUACGUAUGGUGCAAGCGUUAUCCGGAUUUACUGGGUGUAAAGGGAGCGUAGACGGAUGUGCAAGUCUGGAGUGAAAGCCCGGGGCUCAACCCCGGGACUGCUUUGGAAACUGUAUAUCUAGAGUGCUGGAGAGGUAAGUG